This 75-nucleotide transfer RNA is filed under the name Bacteroides xylanisolvens. RNAcentral's name for it is "tRNA-Gly". It matches the Rfam family "tRNA". Rfam says of the family: Transfer RNA (tRNA) molecules are approximately 80 nucleotides in length. The record is from RNAcentral. Lineage: Bacteria; Pseudomonadati; Bacteroidota; Bacteroidia; Bacteroidales; Bacteroidaceae.
GAAGUAGCUCAGUUGAUAGAGCAUUAGCCUUCCAAGCUGAGGGUCGCGGGUUUGAGCCCCGUCUUCCGCUCUCCA